GUGCUUGCUUCAGCAACACAUACACUGAAAUUGGAAUAAUACAGAGAAGAUCACCAUGGACCAUGCACAGGGAUGACAGGCAAAUUCGUAAAGUAAUACUAAGGUUU
Molecule: small nuclear RNA, 107 nt
Organism: Alexandromys fortis (reed vole)
Lineage: Eukaryota; Metazoa; Chordata; Mammalia; Rodentia; Cricetidae
Source: RefSeq, a predicted model, not a curated record